Molecule: long non-coding RNA, 2256 nt
Filed under: Mytilus galloprovincialis (Mediterranean mussel)
Lineage: Eukaryota; Metazoa; Mollusca; Bivalvia; Mytilida; Mytilidae
Source: RNAcentral
GUCCGUUAACUUAUCUAAAAUUGUAAAAACUGGUUUCCUCUGCAUACUAAUGAGCUUAAUUAUUUUACCAAACUAGGGAACAAGAAAUCUUCAUAGGGAUACAUAGAUUGAACAUUUUCUAAAUGAAUCCACAGAACUCUGUGUCUCACCUGCAGUUGCUGCUGUUAGUGUAAAAGUGUGAUGUUGACUAUAAAAGUGAGUAUAUUUAUCAGUAAAAUACAGAAUUUAAAAAAUUAUGUAUGUGCAUGCAUCAUACUCCAUCCAUGAACUAUGGAUAAUAAAAACAAUGUUAUAGCAAUGACUAAAAAAUAUUCAUAGAUCUAAUUUUAAGGGUUAACUUAUUAUAGCUCUUCAUCUUUUAUAUACGCUUUGGAUUUUAAAUAUUUUGGCCACGAGCAUCACUGAAGAGACAAGUGUUGUCGAAAUGCGCAUCUGGUGCAGAAAAAUUGGUACCGUUAAUGUUAUUAUUAAAUUUUUGUCGAGCCUGCAACUUUUGUUGCAGAAAGCUCGACAUAGGGAUAGUGAUCCGGCGGCGGCGGCGGCGGCGUUAGCUAACUUCUUAAAAGCUUUAUAUUUUAGAAGGUAGAAGACCUGGAUGCUUCACAAAUUGUAUAUAGAUGCCUCAUGUUACGAACUUUUGGUCAGUAACAUGUCCAAUGUCCUUGACCUCAUUUUCAUGGUUCAGUGACCACUUGAAAAAAAAGUUAAUAUUUUUUGUAAUGUUAAAUUCUCUCUUAUUAUAACUAAUUGGAUAACUAUAUUUGGUAUGUGCAUACCUUGCAAGUUCUUCAUGCCCGUCAGACAGUUUUCACCUGACCUCGACCUCAUUUCAUGGAUCAGUGAACAAGGUUAAGUUUUGGUGGUCAAGUCCAUAUCUCAGAUACUAUAAUCAAUAGGGCUAGUAUAUUCGGUGUAUGGAAGGACUGCAAGGUGUACAUGUCCAACUGGCCGAUGUCAUCUGACCUUGACCUCAUUUUCAUGGUUCAGUGGUUAUAGUUAGAUUUUUGUGUUUUGGUCUGUUUUUCUCUCAUAAUUUAUGCAAUAGAUCUUCUAUAUUUGUUGUAUGGAAUGAUUGUAAGGUGUACAUGUCUAGCGAGCAGAUGUCAUCUGACCUUGACCUCAUUUUCAUGGUUCAGUGGUCAAAGUUAAGUUUUUGAGUUUUGGCCUUUUUAUCUAAUACUAUAUGCCAUAGGUCAACUAUAUUUAGUGUAUGGAAAUAUUUUAUGAUCUAUAUGUCAGUCGUGCAGGUUUAAUUUGACCUUGAACUCAUUUUCAUGGUUCAUUGCUCAGUGUUAAGUUUUUGUGUUUUGGUCUGUUUUUCUUAAACUAUAAGUUAUAGGUCAACUAUAUUUGUUGUAUGGAAGCAUAGCUGUACAUGUCUGCCUGGCAUGGUUCAUCUGACCUUGACCUCAUUUUCAUGGUUCAUUGGUCUUUUUUUAGUUAUCUUGGUUAAUGUUAAGUUAAGUUUAUGUGACAGUCUUUAAUAAAGCUUUAUACUUAGGACUAUCAACAUAAUAUCAAUGAUAAGUAAAGAAGGCGAGAUAUUUCAGCGUGUGCACUCUUGUUUAUCUUGUUCUAGUUUAUCAUGGAGACUGCAAUGAUAAAUUAUAAAUCACAAAAAAUCCUUAAUCUCACCAUUGCACGUGUCAGAAAUGCUAAAUAUAUGGACUCAUCUUAAAAUUCCUUAAUAAUAACCCUGAUUGGUAAGGUUACCGUAGUAUUUGAUGAUUAUUUAAGAAAAUUGUACCCUGAAUUUUAUUUUUAGAUUUCAGCAACAGAAUGAAGAAUUCCAAGAGUCUAAUACGGUUUAUUAAACAGGAUUUUAUCAUUGAAUCAACAUCCUACAAGAAUAUAACAUACAAAUAAGUAAUUAUGUGCAGGGAAGAACAUUUAAACAAAACUGUAAGAGACAUACAGUGGUGGUGUAUUUUUAAAGAGACCGCAAGAACCUAUAAUAACUUGCCAUGAGUGUAUAUUUUCCAAACCAGAAGCUCGUUCAUAAUAAUAUACAAUUUAAAUUAAAAUUAUUGUAUGAACAUUACAGAUAAAGUCUCAAAAGAGAAAAUUUAGUUUUAAAUGAAACAUUUAAGUACAAAACAUUGAAAUAGUCCUUUCCAUGUUGUGUGACAUGUAGAAAUUUUAUGCUUUCACCAUUCAUGUAGCUCCAUAUAGAGGAAUGGGUCCCUGUCCCCCUCCCCCCCCAAAAAAAAAACGCAUUCGUAUCCGACAGCAAUCAAUCGAUAAAAAACACCAAAC